Molecule: long non-coding RNA, 650 nt
Organism: Motacilla alba alba
Lineage: Eukaryota; Metazoa; Chordata; Aves; Passeriformes; Motacillidae
Exons: 2
Source: RefSeq, a predicted model, not a curated record
GAGGAGGGCGCGGCGGUGGCCUUUGCGCCGGGACAGCCCUAAACCCUUCUUAAGGUGAUCGCCUGCACGCUCAGCGGCGGGGCUGGGGACAACCAGCCGCCUUUCGGCUGGGGACCGGGCGGAGAAGCGUAGACUCUGUUGGCUGUGCCAAAGACGUCACAUGGCUUCGUCGCUUCCUCGCCACCCUUAUUCCCAGGGCCAAGGAGGACUCCUGGCCUUCCCACCCAUACAUGCAGAACAGACUGGGCCAAGUGGAAGACCCUCUAGAAGAGAAGUGAGGAGUGCCAUGAAAAGGACUAUGUCCCUAGAGAGAAGGACUGGGUUCCCUGAGGGCAUCACAGCAAUGCCCCUGCUGCCUUCUGCUGCUGCUUCUCCUGGGAGGGAACAGAUCCCUGCCUACCAUCCACAGGGCUGCUGAAAGCUUGGCUGAGCCCAAUCAAUUUAUCUCCUGUUACUGUUAUUAAAUCUGACCUGAAGUGGAGGAAAAAUAGCAUUUUUAGGAUUGCAGGAUAUUAAGAAACCUCUUUAGAGAUGAAAGAAAUGCCCAGUACCAUUACUCUGGGGAAGAAUUGUGUUCCACUGGUUUCAUUGUCAUUUAACACAGAACAUAAAGGUUACUGCUGAAUAAAAUAAUACUCAUGUUGAUUAUU